Zootermopsis nevadensis is the source of this 1908-nucleotide long non-coding RNA. RefSeq lists it as uncharacterized. The record is from RefSeq and is a predicted model, not a curated record. Lineage: Eukaryota; Metazoa; Arthropoda; Insecta; Blattodea; Termopsidae.
UGUUUAAUGCAGGUCCAGCAAACCACCAUUCAUUUCUGGUCGCAUCUGUGAUGUGCUCACUUGUUCAAUGUACCAGUGAAUGUGAUGUACGAGGCACAAUAUUGUCUGAUUACAGGCAGAAACUCGAGAAAGUUUGAUGUAAAAGGCAGUGAUCACGAUAGCCAACACCACAGUUUGAAAAUCCUACGUAUGUUGCUCAUUCUCAUCUGUACCUGACACGUGAUACCAACGACGUAACAUUAAAUUCUGUGCAGCAUGUUUCAGUCGCUCAGGAUCAUCGGCAGGCUCUCGUGGAUAUUCAUAAGCAGUUACAUGUGACUUGACAUUGUCCAGAAUUAUGUAUUACAAAAAUUAAAAUUAAGUUAAUUAUUAGAAAUUAAAAAAUGCAAUUUGUUGUCUUGCAGUAAUGCAAGUACCUAUGAAACCAGUAACUAAUAAUCAUACAGUUAAACUCAUCAGUCUGUAAUCACAACUUCUGAUUUAUUCAAAAUGGUUAUCUAUACACCGUAUUAAAUUAAUUUUGUUGGUAUUAUAAUUUUGCAGCACAAUAUGUUUUCAUCCAUCUUGUAUGUCUUAUUAGAAGUUAACCUGUGAAGAAUGGCAGGUGUAGGCUGUUGUUGGAUGUAUUCCUUUCAUACAUCAACUCCAAGAAGACUCGCACCACAAAACAGGCACACACAUAUUGUCUCCCAGAGUACCAAGAAACAUGCAUACUUAACGAGAAGCAUCUUAAUAUGUUACACUUACUGCCUGCAAGAUGUGGAAGGAUACAAAAAAACAUAUAAUAUAUACUCCAAUAAUAGAAUCACAGAAUACAAUAAAAGCAUAUAUUCAUUGCAUCCAUUCUAAUAGUGUUGGCACAAAAUUAAGUAAUAAAUAAAACAUAUUUAUAGCAUUUAAAAUAUGUUUGUUUUAUAUUGUCUGUAAUUUCAUGUUCUUGUCGUAACUACUUAGCCAAGGUAUGUAUCUAAUAAUUAUUAAAACCUACUUAAUUAAACAAAUAAUUAUAAAAUAUCAGAUUAAUUGCAAGACCACAACUUGCAAAUUUGAUUUUUAAUUUUUGUAAUACAAAAUUCUAGACAAUGACAAGUCACAUAAAAAACUGAUUCAGAAUAAGAAAUGUUUCCACAAGGGUCUAAAGAUGAUCCUGAAUAAUUGAAACAUGUCUAGAAUUAAUUCUGCAUUGUUAAUAACAAAAAUAUAUUGUGCGCUACAGAAUCUUUGUUCUUUUAUAUACCAAGAAAACUCGAUUAGAAUCACAGAACCAGCAGGUAUUAGAAAUGGAUUGCUACAAACAUCUAGCUAAUAGUAUAUGUGGCAGUGUAAACUCUGCAAUGACUUCAAAACUCAAUAGACAUGGGUAUUAUGAAGUCAAUAUUAGAUUAGUGUAUGGUCUAAGGUGUACUGAAAAUGGCAAUAAAUCUGCAUAGACUUUAUGUGCAGUGAUGAACUUGCUCUCUGCACCUUUCAAGUUCAGUGAACAGAACAAACACAUUUUUGAAAGUGCUAGGAAUAUUGGGAUUUCUAUGCAGUUACAGAAGUUUCAUUGAAUGAUGGGACUUGGCAUGUUUGGUGGCUUAUGACAAAAUUACAGAUGUUGCAGUGUUAUAAAAACAUUGUCAGUUGUACUUCAGUACAUCAUAGGAAAAGAAUACAAAUGCACAAGAAACUAUGAUAGCUUAGUGCUGGGAUGGAAGUAGACAGAAUACCGCUUGUUACAGAAAUACAGAAUUUUUACUUUCUCCAAUACCAAAGGGCUGGAGAUAAAAAAGAUUUUCAAAAUGAAGAGGCCAGACCACACAUGAUGAUGUAUACAAAGGGGAAACUGGAGGAUAUGUUAAGAAUGUAUCCAUUUACCCACAAGAAGUUUUUGAAUAAACUGUCUUAAAGAAUACUUAUUAUGCAAUA